RNAcentral lists this ribosomal RNA (492 nucleotides) under uncultured bacterium. RNAcentral's name for it is "partial 16S ribosomal RNA". It matches the Rfam family "Bacterial small subunit ribosomal RNA", at positions 29 to 507 of the family's 1533-position model. The record is from RNAcentral.
AGUGAACGCUGGCGGUAGGCCUAACACAUGCAAGUCGAACGGCAGCACAGUAAGAGCUUGCUCUUACGGGUGGCGAGUGGCGGACGGGUGAGGAAUACAUCGGAAUCUACUUUUUCGUGGGGGAUAACGUAGGGAAACUUACGCUAAUACCGCAUACGACCUACGUGUGAAAGCAGGGGAUCUUCGGACCUUGCGCGAUCGAAUGAGCCGAUGUCGGAUUAGCUAGUUGGCGGGGUAAAGGCCCACCAAGGCGACGAUCCGUAGCUGGUCUGAUAGGAUGAUCAGCCACACUGGAACGGAGACGCGGUCCAGACUCCUACGGGAGGCAGCAGAGGGGAAUAUAGGACAAUGGGAGCAAGCAUGAUCCAGCCAUACCGCGUGGGUGAAAAAGGCCUUCGGGUUGUAAAGCCCUUUUGUUGGGAAAGAAAAGCAGCAGGUUAAUACCCCGCUGUUCUGACGGUACCCAAAGAAUAAGCACCGGCUAACUUCGUG